Molecule: ribosomal RNA, 497 nt
Filed under: uncultured bacterium
Lineage: Bacteria
Description: partial 16S ribosomal RNA
Rfam family: Bacterial small subunit ribosomal RNA
Source: RNAcentral
GAUGAACGCUGGCGGCGUGCCUAAUACAUGCAAGUCGAGCGAACGGACGAUAAGCUUGCUUCUCUGAUGUUAGCGGUGGACGGGUGAGUAACACGUGGAUAACCUACCUAUAAGACUGGGAUAACUUCGGGAAACCGGAGCUAAUACCGGAUAAUAUUUUGAACCGCAUGGUUCAAAAGUGAAAGACGGUCUUGCUGUCACUUAUAGAUGGAUCCGCGCUGCAUUAGCUAGUUGGUAAGGUAACGGCUUACCAAGGCAACGAUGCGUAGCCGACCUGAGAGGGUGAUCGGCCACACUGGAACUGAGACACGGUCCAGACUCCUACGGGAGGCAGCAGUAGGGAAUCUUCCGCAAUGGGCGAAAGCCUGACGGAGCAACGCCGCGUGAGUGAUGAAGGUCUUCGGAUCGUAAAACUCUGUUAUUAGGGAAGAACAUAUGUGUAAGUAACUGUGCACGUCUUGACGGUACCUAAUCAGAAAGCCACGGCUAACUACGUG